UUAAGCGACUAAGCGUACACGGUGGAUGCCCUGGCAGUCAGAGGCGAUGAAGGACGUGCUAAUCUGCGAAAAGCGUCGGUAAGGUGAUAUGAACCGUUACAGCCGGCGAUGUCCGAAUGGGGAAACCCAGUGCAAUUCGUUGCACUAUCGUUAACUGAAUACAUAGGUUAACGAGGCGAACCGGGGGAACUGAAACAUCUAAGUACCCCGAGGAAAAGAAAUCAACCGAGAUUCCCCCAGUAGCGGCGAGCGAACGGGGAGCAGCCCAGAGUCUGAAUCAGCUUGUGUGUUAGUGGAACGGUCUGGAAAGUCCGACGGUACAGGGUGAUAGUCCCGUACACCAAAAUGCACAGGUUGUGAACUCGAAGAGUAGGGCGGGACACGUGGUAUCCUGUCUGAAUAUGGGGGGACCAUCCUCCAAGGCUAAAUACUCCUGACUGACCGAUAGUGAACCAGUACCGUGAGGGAAAGGCGAAAAGAACCCCGGCGAGGGGAGUGAAAAAGAACCUGAAACCGUGUACGUACAAGCAGUGGGAGCACCUUCGGGUGUGACUGCGUACCUUUUGUAUAAUGGGUCAGCGACUUAUAUUCUGUAGCAAGGUUAACCGUAUAGGGGAGCCGCAGGGAAACCGAGUCUUAACUGGGCGUUAAGUUGCAGGGUAUAGACCCGAAACCCGGUGAUCUAGCCAUGGGCAGGUUGAAGGUUGGGUAACACUAACUGGAGGACCGAACCGACUAAUGUUGAAAAAUUAGCGGAUGACUUGUGGCUGGGGGUGAAAGGCCAAUCAAACCGGGAGAUAGCUGGUUCUCCCCGAAAGCUAUUUAGGUAGCGCCUCGUGAACUCAUCUUCGGGGGUAGAGCACUGUUUCGGCUAGGGGGUCAUCCCGACUUACCAACCCGAUGCAAACUACGAAUACCGAAGAAUGUUAUCACGGGAGACACACGGCGGGUGCUAACGUCCGUCGUGAAGAGGGAAACAACCCAGACCGCCAGCUAAGGUCCCAAAGUCAUGGUUAAGUGGGAAACGAUGUGGGAAGGCACAGACAGCCAGGAUGUUGGCUUAGAAGCAGCCAUCAUUUAAAGAAAGCGUAAUAGCUCACUGGUCGAGUCGGCCUGCGCGGAAGAUGUAACGGGGCUAAACCAUGCACCGAAGCUGCGGCAGCGACACUAUGUGUUGUUGGGUAGGGGAGCGUUCUGUAAGCCUGCGAAGGUGUGCUGUGAGGCAUGCUGGAGGUAUCAGAAGUGCGAAUGCUGACAUAAGUAACGAUAAAGCGGGUGAAAAGCCCGCUCGCCGGAAGACCAAGGGUUCCUGUCCAACGUUAAUCGGGGCAGGGUGAGUCGACCCCUAAGGCGAGGCCGAAAGGCGUAGUCGAUGGGAAACAGGUUAAUAUUCCUGUACUUGGUGUUACUGCGAAGGGGGGACGGAGAAGGCUAUGUUAGCCGGGCGACGGUUGUCCCGGUUUAAGCAUGUAGGCUGAUUGUCCAGGCAAAUCCGGAUAAUCAAGGCUGAGGUGUGAUGACGAGGCACUACGGUGCUGAAGUAACAAAUGCCCUGCUUCCAGGAAAAGCCUCUAAGCAUCAGGUAACAUUAAAUCGUACCCCAAACCGACACAGGUGGUCAGGUAGAGAAUACCAAGGCGCUUGAGAGAACUCGGGUGAAGGAACUAGGCAAAAUGGUGCCGUAACUUCGGGAGAAGGCACGCUGGUGUGUAGGUGAAGUCCCUGCGGAUGGAGCUGAGACCAGUCGAAGAUACCAGCUGGCUGCAACUGUUUAUUAAAAACACAGCACUGUGCAAACACGAAAGUGGACGUAUACGGUGUGACGCCUGCCCGGUGCCGGAAGGUUAAUUGAUGGGGUUAUCCGUAAGGAGAAGCUCUUGAUCGAAGCCCCGGUAAACGGCGGCCGUAACUAUAACGGUCCUAAGGUAGCGAAAUUCCUUGUCGGGUAAGUUCCGACCUGCACGAAUGGCGUAAUGAUGGCCAGGCUGUCUCCACCCGAGACUCAGUGAAAUUGAACUCGCUGUGAAGAUGCAGUGUACCCGCGGCAAGACGGAAAGACCCCGUGAACCUUUACUAUAGCUUGACACUGAACAUUGAGCCUUGAUGUGUAGGAUAGGUGGGAGGCUUUGAAGCGUGGACGCCAGUCUGCGUGGAGCCAACCUUGAAAUACCACCCUUUAAUGUUUGAUGUUCUAACGUUGGCCCCUGACCGGGGUUGCGGACAGUGUCUGGUGGGUAGUUUGACUGGGGCGGUCUCCUCCCAAAGCGUAACGGAGGAGCACGAAGGUUAGCUAAUCCUGGUCGGACAUCAGGAGGUUAGUGCAAUGGCAUAAGCUAGCUUGACUGCGAGCGUGACGGCGCGAGCAGGUGCGAAAGCAGGUCAUAGUGAUCCGGUGGUUCUGAAUGGAAGGGCCAUCGCUCAACGGAUAAAAGGUACUCCGGGGAUAACAGGCUGAUACCGCCCAAGAGUUCAUAUCGACGGCGGUGUUUGGCACCUCGAUGUCGGCUCAUCACAUCCUGGGGCUGAAGUAGGUCCCAAGGGUAUGGCUGUUCGCCAUUUAAAGUGGUACGCGAGCUGGGUUUAGAACGUCGUGAGACAGUUCGGUCCCUAUCUGCCGUGGGCGCUGGAGAAUUGAGGGGGGCUGCUCCUAGUACGAGAGGACCGGAGUGGACGCAUCACUGGUGUUCGGGUUGUCAUGCCAAUGGCACUGCCCGGUAGCUAAAUGCGGAAGAGAUAAGUGCUGAAAGCAUCUAAGCACGAAACUUGCCCCGAGAUGAGUUCUCCCUGAGACUAUAAGUCUCCUGAAGGAACGUU
RNAcentral lists this ribosomal RNA (2814 nucleotides) under Klebsiella pneumoniae MGH 67. RNAcentral's name for it is "bacterial LSU rRNA". It matches the Rfam family "Bacterial large subunit ribosomal RNA". The record is from RNAcentral. Lineage: Bacteria; Pseudomonadati; Pseudomonadota; Gammaproteobacteria; Enterobacterales; Enterobacteriaceae.